RNAcentral lists this non-coding RNA (26 nucleotides) under Rattus norvegicus (Norway rat). Lineage: Eukaryota; Metazoa; Chordata; Mammalia; Rodentia; Muridae. The record is from RNAcentral.
GGGGUUGUGAAUGAAGCAAGAGAGGC